AAUGUGAUAAGUAAUGUGAAUUGCAGAAUUCAGUGAAUCAUUGAAUCUUUGAACGCACCUUGCACCUUUUGGUUAUUCCAAAAGGUACACCUGUUUGAGUGUCAU
This 105-nucleotide ribosomal RNA is filed under the name Puccinia menthae. RNAcentral describes it as "partial 5.8S ribosomal RNA". It matches the Rfam family "5.8S ribosomal RNA", at positions 52 to 154 of the family's 154-position model. Rfam says of the family: 5.8S ribosomal RNA (5.8S rRNA) is a component of the large subunit of the eukaryotic ribosome. It is transcribed by RNA polymerase I as part of the 45S precursor that also contains 18S and 28S rRNA. Functionally, it is thought that 5.8S rRNA may be involved in ribosome translocation. The record is from RNAcentral. Lineage: Eukaryota; Fungi; Basidiomycota; Pucciniomycetes; Pucciniales; Pucciniaceae.